RNAcentral lists this ribosomal RNA (254 nucleotides) under uncultured bacterium. RNAcentral's name for it is "partial 16S ribosomal RNA". It matches the Rfam family "Bacterial small subunit ribosomal RNA", at positions 524 to 776 of the family's 1533-position model. The record is from RNAcentral.
UACGUAGGGGGCGAGCGUUGUCCGGAUUUAUUGGGCGUAAAGAGCUCGUAGGCGGUUCGAUAAGUCGGACGUGAAAUCUCCACGCUCAACGUGGAGGGGCCGUUCGAUACUGUCGUGACUCGAGUCCGGUAGGGGAGUGUGGAAUUCCCGGUGUAGUGGUGAAAUGCGUAGAUAUCGGGAGGAACACCAGUGGCGAAGGCGACUACCUGGCCUGUUCUUGACGCUGAGGCGCGAAAGCCAGGGGAGCAAACGGG